CCUGGCCUUGACAUACUAAGAACUUUCCAGAGAUGGAUUGGUGGGCCUUCGGGAACUUAGAUACAGGUGCUGCAUGGCUGUCGUCAGCUCGUGUCGUGAGAUGUUGGGUUAAGUCCGCAACGAGCGCAACCCUUUUCCUUAUUUGCCAGCGGGUAAUGCCGGGAACUUUAAGGAUACUGCCAGUGACAAACUGGAGGAAGGCGGGGACGACGUCAAGUCAUCAUGGCCCUUACGGCCAGGGCUACACACGUGCUACAAUGGUCGGUACAAAGGGUUGCUACCUCGCGAGAGGAUGCUAAUCUCAAAAAGCCGAUCGUAGUCCGGAUCGCAGUCUGCAACUCGACUGCGUGAAGUCGGAAUCGCUAGUAAUCGCGGAUCAGAAUGCCGCGGUGAAUACGUUCCCGGGCCUUGUACACACCGCCCGUCACACCAUGGGAGUUUGUUGCACCAGAAGUAGGUAGUCUAACCGCAAGGAGGACGCUUACCACGGUGUGGCCGAUGACUGGGGUGAAGUCGUAACAAGGUAGGCGUAGAUGA
RNAcentral lists this ribosomal RNA (537 nucleotides) under uncultured bacterium. RNAcentral's name for it is "bacterial SSU rRNA". It matches the Rfam family "Bacterial small subunit ribosomal RNA", at positions 974 to 1509 of the family's 1533-position model. The record is from RNAcentral.